RNAcentral lists this ribosomal RNA (671 nucleotides) under uncultured Bacilli bacterium. RNAcentral's name for it is "bacterial SSU rRNA". It matches the Rfam family "Bacterial small subunit ribosomal RNA", at positions 64 to 722 of the family's 1533-position model. Lineage: Bacteria; Bacillati; Bacillota; Bacilli. The record is from RNAcentral.
ACGCUGAAGGAGGAGCUUGCUUCUCUGGAUGAGUUGCGAACGGGUGAGUAACGCGUAGGUAACCUGCCUGGUAGCGGGGGAUAACUAUUGGAAACGAUAGCUAAUACCGCAUAACAGUAGAUGUUGCAUGACAUUUGCUUAAAAGGUGCAAUUGCAUCACUACCAGAUGGACCUGCGUUGUAUUAGCUAGUUGGUGGGGUAACGGCUCACCAAGGCGACGAUACAUAGCCGACCUGAGAGGGUGAUCGGCCACACUGGGACUGAGACACGGCCCAGACUCCUACGGGAGGCAGCAGUAGGGAAUCUUCGGCAAUGGACGGAAGUCUGACCGAGCAACGCCGCGUGAGUGAAGAAGGUUUUCGGAUCGUAAAGCUCUGUUGUAAGAGAAGAACGAGUGUGAGAGUGGAAAGUUCACACUGUGACGGUAUCUUACCAGAAAGGGACGGCUAACUACGUGCCAGCAGCCGCGGUAAUACGUAGGUCCCGAGCGUUGUCCGGAUUUAUUGGGCGUAAAGCGAGCGCAGGCGGUUAGAUAAGUCUGAAGUUAAAGGCUGUGGCUUAACCAUAGUACGCUUUGGAAACUGUUUAACUUGAGUGCAAGAGGGGAGAGUUGAAUUCCAUGUGUAGCGGUGAAAUGCGUAGAUAUAUGGAGGAACACCGGUGGCGAAAGC